CAUGCAAGUCGAACGAGAAUCUGCUGAAGGAGGAUUCGUCCAACGGAUGUAGAGGAAAGUGGCGGACGGAUGAGUAACGCGUGAGGAACCUGCCUUGAAGAGGGGGACAACAGUUGGAAACGACUGCUAAUACCGCAUGAAGCAUAGGGGUCGCAUGAUCCUUAUGCCAAAGAUUUAUCGCUUCAAGAUGGCCUCGCGUCUGAUUAGCUGGUUGGCGGGGUAACGGCCCACCAAGGCGACGAUCAGUAGCCGGACUGAGAGGUUGAACGGCCACAUUGGGACUGAGAUACGGCCCAGACUCCUACGGGAGGCAGCAGUGGGGAAUAUUGGGCAAUGGGCGCAAGCCUGACCCAGCAACGCCGCGUGAAGGAAGAAGGCUUUCGGGUUGUAAACUUCUUUUAAGAGGGAAGAGCAGAAGACGGUACCUCUAGAAUAAGCCACGGCUAACUACGUGCCAGCAGCCGCGGUAAUACGUAGGUGGCAAGCGUUGUCCGGAUUUACUGGGUGUAAAGGGCGUGCAGCCGGGUCUGCAAGUCAGAUGUGAAAUCCAUGGGCUCAACCCAUGAACUGCAUUUGAAACUGUAGAUCUUGAGUGUCGGAGGGGCAAUCGGAAUUCCUAGUGUAGCGGUGAAAUGCGUAGAUAUUAGGAGGAACACCAGUGGCGAAGGCGGAUUGCUGGACGAUAACUGACGGUGAGGCGCGAAAGUGUGGGGAGCAAACAGGAUUAGAUACCCUGGUAGUCCACACUGUAAACGAUGAAUACUAGGUGUGCGGGGACUGACCCCCUGCGUGCCGCAGUAAACACAAUAAGUAUUCCACCUGGGGAGUACGAUCGCAAGGUUGAAACUCAAAGGAAUUGACGGGGGCCCGCACAAGCGGUGGAUUAUGUGGUUUAAUUCGAAGCAACGCGAAGAACCUUACCAGGGUUUGACAUC
Molecule: ribosomal RNA, 935 nt
Filed under: uncultured bacterium
Lineage: Bacteria
Description: bacterial SSU rRNA
Rfam family: Bacterial small subunit ribosomal RNA
Source: RNAcentral